Molecule: ribosomal RNA, 464 nt
Filed under: Vreelandella stevensii
Lineage: Bacteria; Pseudomonadati; Pseudomonadota; Gammaproteobacteria; Oceanospirillales; Halomonadaceae
Description: partial 16S ribosomal RNA
Rfam family: Bacterial small subunit ribosomal RNA
Source: RNAcentral
CUACGGGUAUCAGCAGUGGGGAAUAUUGGACAAUGGGCGAAAGCCUGAUCCAGCCAUGCCGCGUGUGUGAAGAAGGCCUUCGGGUUGUAAAGCACUUUCAGUGGGGAAGAAAGCCUUGGGGCUAAUACCCUCGAGGAAGGACAUCACCCACAGAAGAAGCACCGGCUAACUCCGUGCCAGCAGCCGCGGUAAUACGGAGGGUGCGAGCGUUAAUCGGAAUUACUGGGCGUAAAGCGCGCGUAGGCGGUCUGAUAAGCCGGUUGUGAAAGCCCCGGGCUCAACCUGGGAACGGCAUCCGGAACUGUCAGGCUAGAGUGCAGGAGAGGAAGGUAGAAUUCCCGGUGUAGCGGUGAAAUGCGUAGAGAUCGGGAGGAAUACCAGUGGCGAAGGCGGCCUUCUGGACUGACACUGACGCUGAGGUGCGAAAGCGUGGGUAGCAAACAGGAUUAGAUACCCCGGUAGUC